CCACGCCCGCACGAUCCAUCGCCCGCACGCCGCCCUCGACGACCCCCCGCACGAUGCCCUCGACGACCUAGCCAACCCUCCUUAGAGAGAAUUCUACCAUCUGGGAGGCUUGCGCAAUCAUGGGAGUGAAGACUGGUGUGGGAGACUGCUUACAGAGGAUAAAUUGGUGAAGUUUGGUGUGCUACAGGAGAGUGUUUGUGCUUUGUGCAAUCAUGGGAGCGAAGGAGUUGAUCAUAUGUGCCCCUUUUUGUGCUUGUUUAAAAGAAGAUCUUGGUGUGGUUGAGGAUACAAAGGGAUCCUAUGGCUUGGGAGCAGGAGAUUUCUUUGUUGGGUCAAUGGAGGAGGACAAAAUCCACGAAGUUGAAGAUUCUGUUAUUAGUUGAUCUUUGGGGUGAAAGAAAUUACAGUCUCAAAGUACAGAGGACACUCCUGUAGAGCUUAACCGCAUGACCAGAGAUGAGUGGAUGGAAGUUGUCGACGGAAAGGAAGAGUGCUUCUGCCAAGUGCUACAGUUAAGCGACCAUGUCGCACGUCAUACGUCGUGGGCUAGAGGAGGUACCGCCAUAGGAAGCUGCAGUACAGUACGACAUUCUGAUGCAGCCGCCACCAAUGAUAGGAAUUACGACGAUAUGGACCACGACUAUGAUGAGUGAGUGGUGAGUUAGACUUUUUUGUUAUUUUUGUGGACUUUUGGAUUGUGUUGAACAUAUUAUGACCUCCAGAUUAUAUAUAUGUGUGAAUUGAUGAAUGAUGAAUGUUAAUAUUGUUGGAUGUGAAUCGAUGAAUGUAAAUAUGAAUAUUGUUGGAUAUUGUUGGAUGUGAAUCGAUUAAUGUGAA
Long non-coding RNA from Asparagus officinalis (garden asparagus), 837 nucleotides. RefSeq lists it as uncharacterized. The record is from RefSeq and is a predicted model, not a curated record. NCBI's taxonomy places the organism in Eukaryota, Viridiplantae, Streptophyta, Magnoliopsida, Asparagales, Asparagaceae. The transcript has 4 exons.